CGGGGUGCAGCAGGCGCGAAAACUUUACAAUGCUGGCAACAGCGAUAAGGGGACCUCGAGUGCCAGGAUACAAUCUUGGCUGUCGUGAUGCCUAAAAAGCAUUGCAUAGCAAGGGCCGGGCAAGACCGGUGCCAGCCGCCGCGGUAACACCGGCGGCUCGAGUGGUAACCGCUAUUAUUGGGUCUAAAGGGUCUGUAGCCGGCCGGAUAAGUCUUUUGGGAAAUCCAGCUGCUCAACAGUUGGGCUUUCAGAAGAUACUGUUCGGCUCGAGGCCGGGAGAGGUGAGAGGUACUUCAGGGGUAGGGGUGAAAUCUUGUAAUCCUUGAAGGACCACCAGUGGCGAAGGCGUCUCACCAGAACGGUCCUGACGGCAAGGGACGAAAGCUAGGGGCACGAACCGGAUUAGAUACCCGGGUAGUCCUAGCCGUAAACGAUACUCGCUAGGUGUCAGCCACGGUGCGACCGUGGUUGGUGCCGUAGGGAAGCCGUGAAGCGAGCCACCUGGGAAGUACGGCCGCAAGGCUGAAACUUAAAGGAAUUGGCGGGGGAGCAC
RNAcentral lists this ribosomal RNA (553 nucleotides) under uncultured archaeon. Its description in RNAcentral is "bacterial SSU rRNA". It matches the Rfam family "Archaeal small subunit ribosomal RNA", at positions 326 to 879 of the family's 1478-position model. The record is from RNAcentral.